GUCCACGCCCUAACGAUGUCAACUGGUUGUUGGGAAUUCACUUUCUCAGUAACGAAGCUAACGCGUGAAGUUGACCGCCUGGGGAGUACGGCCGCAAGGUUGAAACUCAAAGGAAUUGACGGGACCCGCACAAGCGGUGGAUGAUGUGGUUUAAUUCGAUGCAACGCGAAACCUUACCACCUUUGACAUGUACGGAAUCCUUUAGAGAUAGAGGAGUGCUCGAAAGAGAGCCGUAACACAGGUGCUGCAUGGCUGUCGU
RNAcentral lists this ribosomal RNA (259 nucleotides) under uncultured bacterium. Its description in RNAcentral is "partial 16S ribosomal RNA". It matches the Rfam family "Bacterial small subunit ribosomal RNA", at positions 793 to 1055 of the family's 1533-position model. The record is from RNAcentral.